RNAcentral lists this ribosomal RNA (251 nucleotides) under uncultured prokaryote. Its description in RNAcentral is "partial 16S rRNA". It matches the Rfam family "Bacterial small subunit ribosomal RNA", at positions 525 to 775 of the family's 1533-position model. The record is from RNAcentral.
ACGGAGGAUGCGAGCGUUAUCCGGAUUUAUUGGGUUUAAAGGGUGCGUAGGCGGAUAGAUAAGUCAGUGGUGAAAACCUGCAGCUUAACUGUAGACUUGCCGUUGAUACUGUCAGUCUUGAGUAUGGUCAAGGGAGGCGGAAUAUGAAAUGUAGCGGUGAAAUGCGUAGAUAUUUGGCGGAACACCGACUGCGAAGGCAGCUUGCUGGGCCAUUACUGACGCUGAUGCGCGAAAGCGUGGGGAUCGAACGG